Molecule: small RNA, 97 nt
Filed under: Flavobacterium weaverense
Lineage: Bacteria; Pseudomonadati; Bacteroidota; Flavobacteriia; Flavobacteriales; Flavobacteriaceae
Description: Flavo-1 RNA
Rfam family: Flavo-1 RNA
Source: RNAcentral
UAUUAGCUACGCGUAAGGGAUAGUAGUGAAAAUCCUUUUUUAUUAUGGAGCGAAAGCGGAAUAAUAUAAAAGAUUGCAGCGGAUAACCCGACCUUAC